ACUCAAAUGAAUUGACGGGGACCCACACAAGCGGUGGAGCAUGGGGUUUAAUUCGAUGAUAAGCGAAGCACCUCACCCAGACUUGACAUGGUAGGAAUCGUUUAGAAAUAGACGAGUGCCGCAAGGAGCCUACACACAGGCGCUGCACGGUCGUCGUCAGCUCGUGCCUUGAGGUGUACUGUUCAGUCAGCAAACGAGCGCAACCCUCAUCUCAUGUUGUAUUCUCAUGAGAGACUGCCGCCUCCAAGGCGGAGGAAGGUGAGGAUGACGUCAGAUCAGCGUGGCCUUUAUGUCUGGGGCAACACCCGUGCUACAAUGGCCGGUACAAACCGUUGCGAACCCGCGAGGGGAAGCCAAUCGGAAAAAACCGGCCUCAGUUCGGAUUGAAGUCUGCAACUCGACUUCAUGAAGUUGGAAUCGCUAGUAACCGUGAAUCAGCUACGUCACGGUGAAUAUGUUCCUGGGUCUUGUACACACCGCCCGU
This 484-nucleotide ribosomal RNA is filed under the name uncultured bacterium. RNAcentral describes it as "partial 16S ribosomal RNA". It matches the Rfam family "Bacterial small subunit ribosomal RNA", at positions 899 to 1397 of the family's 1533-position model. The record is from RNAcentral.